This 503-nucleotide ribosomal RNA is filed under the name Eutypa lata. RNAcentral describes it as "eukaryotic LSU rRNA". The stretch from base 197 to 350 matches the Rfam family "5.8S ribosomal RNA". Lineage: Eukaryota; Fungi; Ascomycota; Sordariomycetes; Xylariales; Diatrypaceae. The record is from RNAcentral.
GAUCAUUACAGAGUUACCUAACUCCAAACCCAUGUGAACUUACCUAUGUUGCCUCGGCGGGGAAGCCUACCCGGUACCUACCCUGUAGCUACCCGGGAGCGAGCUACCCUGUAGCCCGCUGCAGGCCUACCCGCCGGUGGACACUUAAACUCUUGUUUUUUAGUGAUUAUCUGAGUGUUUAUACUUAAUAAGUUAAAACUUUCAACAACGGAUCUCUUGGUUCUGGCAUCGAUGAAGAACGCAGCGAAAUGCGAUAAGUAAUGUGAAUUGCAGAAUUCAGUGAAUCAUCGAAUCUUUGAACGCACAUUGCGCCCAUUAGUAUUCUAGUGGGCAUGCCUGUUCGAGCGUCAUUUCGACCUUCAAGCCCUAGCUGCUUGGUGUUGGGAGCCUAUCUCCGGAUAGCUCCUCAAAAGCAUUGGCGGAGUCGCGGUGACCCCAAGCGUAGUAAUUCUUCUCGCUUUCGGUGUGUCACGGCUGACGUCUUGCCGUUAAACCCCCAAUUU